GUUGUUUGGGAAUGCAGCUCUAAGUGGGUGGUAAAUUCCAUCUAAAGCUAAAUAUUGGCGAGAGACCGAUAGCGAACAAGUACAGUGAUGGAAAGAUGAAAAGAACUUUGAAAAGAGAGUGAAAAAGUACGUGAAAUUGUUGAAAGGGAAGGGCUUGAGAUCAGACUUGGUAUUUUGCGAUCCUUUCCUUCUUGGUUGGGUUCUCCGCAGCUUACUGGGC
This 220-nucleotide ribosomal RNA is filed under the name Debaryomyces nepalensis. RNAcentral's name for it is "partial large subunit ribosomal RNA". It matches the Rfam family "Eukaryotic large subunit ribosomal RNA", at positions 269 to 487 of the family's 3401-position model. The record is from RNAcentral. Lineage: Eukaryota; Fungi; Ascomycota; Pichiomycetes; Serinales; Debaryomycetaceae.